GGGCCCGCACAAGCGGUGGAGUAUGUGGUUUAAUUCGAUGCAACGCGAGGAACCUUACCAGGGCUUAAAUGUAAGUUGCAUGGAUCAGAGAUGAUCCUUUCUUCGGACUACUUACAAGGUGCUGCAUGGUUGUCGUCAGCUCGUGCCGUGAGGUGUCAGGUUAAGUCCUAUAACGAGCGCAACCCCUAUCGUUAGUUGCCAGCAAAUAAAGUUGGGUACUCUAGCGAGACUGCCGGUGCAAACCGAGAGGAAGGUGGGGAUGACGUCAAAUCAUCACGGCCCUUACGUCCUGGGCUACACACGUGCUACAAUGGCCGGUACAGAGAGCAGCCACCACGCGAGUGGGAGCGAAUCUUCAAAGCCGGUCUCAGUUCGGAUCGCAGUCUGCAACUCGACUGCGUGAAGCUGGAAUCGCUAGUAAUCGC
Molecule: ribosomal RNA, 425 nt
Filed under: uncultured bacterium
Lineage: Bacteria
Description: bacterial SSU rRNA
Rfam family: Bacterial small subunit ribosomal RNA
Source: RNAcentral